CUGACACUAUUGUUUGCAAGACGAUUUGAGAUAACCAAGUGCCCAUCACAAAAUGUAAGUACUAUCUAGAUAGGUUCCUUGGCAGUGAGAAUGACCAAUCAAUUCUUUCAUAUGUAUUUAUUGAUCCAUUUAACGAAAUGCAUCAGACCACCACACCGUGCCAGAGACCACAUUAAACAGGGAGGUGUUUCGUGAACUGUCCUUGCUCUUAUGGGGCUGACAUUCUGCUGAGGGUCAGUCUUCAUGGUUUACUUCUCAAUUGCACAAGAGUCCAUAAUCUAGCAAAUAAAACAAGCAAACUUUACAAAUGAAUAGAAUUAGAUUUUUUUUUCACCACAGAUGCUACUGGUCAGCUAUAU
RNAcentral lists this long non-coding RNA (359 nucleotides) under Bos taurus (domestic cattle). RNAcentral describes it as "long non-coding RNA NONBTAT026027". The record is from RNAcentral. Lineage: Eukaryota; Metazoa; Chordata; Mammalia; Artiodactyla; Bovidae.